GUGGUGAUGCGAACUGUGGUUAUCGGUUAAGUAUUACAGUUUCGAAUGCCGAAGUGCCAAUUGUUUCGCUAGAAGAAAGACAAUAAAACGAUUUUGUGAGAAAAGAAAUUUUAUUGGUAACGUAGAGACGAUUCGAACACGUAUAAACGGUAUGUAUAAAAGUAUAAAAAAUAAAUAGCGAUGACGCUGCGACUUUGUAAAAGUCUUAAUGAGAGUGAAUCCAUCGUGAGGUGUUCCCAUUGUCGCCGAGAUCACGAUCACGAUCACGAUUACGAUCACGAUCACAAUUCGAUGACAAUAACUUCACUAGUGACAAAUAAUGACGAUAACAAUAAUCAUUAUACGAAUAA
This is a non-coding RNA of Megalopta genalis, 350 nucleotides long. Lineage: Eukaryota; Metazoa; Arthropoda; Insecta; Hymenoptera; Halictidae. The record is from RefSeq and is a predicted model, not a curated record.